UGUCCUGCCAGUAGUCAUAUGCUUGUCUCAAAGACUAAGCCAUGCAUGUCUAAGUAUAAGUAUUAUACAGCGAAACUGCGAAUGGCUCAUUAAAACAGUUAUAGUUUAUUUGACAAUCGAAUUUACAUGGAUAACCGUGGUAAUUCUAGAGCUAAUACAUGCUGGUGUGCCUGACUUUUUGGAAGGGCGGUAUUUAUUAGAUAACAAGCCAAUAUUCCUCGUGUCUAUUGUGGUGACUCAUAAUAACUGAUCGAAUCGCAAGGCCUUUGGUCGCGAUAAGUCAUUCAAGUUUCUGCCCCAUCAGCUUUCGAUGGUAGUGUAUUGGACUACCAUGGCGUUUACGGGUAACGGAGGAUUAGGGUUCGAUUCCGGAGAGGGAGCCUGAGAAACGGCUACCACAUCUAAGGAAGGCAGCAGGCGCGUAAAUUACCCAAUCCUGACUCAGGGAGGUAGUGACAAGAAAUAACGGACCGGGGCCUUACGGCUUCGGGAUUGCAAUGAGCCGAAUUUACACCCCUUAGCGAAGAUCGAU
Molecule: ribosomal RNA, 532 nt
Filed under: uncultured marine eukaryote
Lineage: Eukaryota
Description: SSU rRNA
Rfam family: Eukaryotic small subunit ribosomal RNA
Source: RNAcentral